ACUGGGCGCAGUGGUGCAUGCCUGUAAUCCCAGCGGCUCAGGAGGCUGAGGCAGGAGGAUCGCAAGUUCCAAGCCAGCCUCAGCAAAAGCAAGGCCCUCAGCAACUCAGUGAGACCCUGUCUCUA
Molecule: small RNA, 125 nt
Filed under: Marmota monax (woodchuck)
Lineage: Eukaryota; Metazoa; Chordata; Mammalia; Rodentia; Sciuridae
Source: RNAcentral